AACGUAGGUACCGAGCGUUAUCCGGAUUUACUGGGCGUAAAGCGCGUUCAGGCGGUCUGGCAAGUCGGGCAUGAAAUCUCUCGGCUCAACCGGGAGAGGCUGUCCGAUACUUCCAGACUUGAGGGCAGUAGAGGGUGGUGGAAUUCCGCGUGUAGUGGUGAAAUGCGUAGAUAUGCGGAGGAACACCAGUGGCGAAGGCGGCCACCUGGACUGCACCUGACGCUCAAACGCGAAAGCUAGGGGAGCGAACGGG
Molecule: ribosomal RNA, 253 nt
Filed under: uncultured bacterium
Lineage: Bacteria
Description: partial 16S ribosomal RNA
Rfam family: Bacterial small subunit ribosomal RNA
Source: RNAcentral